UACGAACCGUCCAAACGUUAUUCGGAAUCACUGGGCUUAAAGAGUCCGUAGGCGGCUUGGAAAGUAGGGUGUGAAAUCCCACGGCUUAACCGUGGAACUGCGCUCUAAACUACCAAGCUUGAGGGAGAUAGAGGUAAGCGGAACUGAUGGUGGAGCGGUGAAAUGCGUUGAUAUCAUCAGGAACACCGGAGGCGAAGGCGGCUUACUGGGUCUUUUCUGACGCUGAGGGACGAAAGCCAGGGUAGCGAACGGG
This 253-nucleotide ribosomal RNA is filed under the name uncultured bacterium. Its description in RNAcentral is "partial 16S ribosomal RNA". It matches the Rfam family "Bacterial small subunit ribosomal RNA", at positions 524 to 776 of the family's 1533-position model. The record is from RNAcentral.